This 73-nucleotide transfer RNA is filed under the name Trichonephila clavata. It matches the Rfam family "tRNA". Rfam says of the family: Transfer RNA (tRNA) molecules are approximately 80 nucleotides in length. Their secondary structure includes four short double-helical elements and three loops (D, anti-codon, and T loops). The record is from Rfam by way of RNAcentral. Lineage: Eukaryota; Metazoa; Arthropoda; Arachnida; Araneae; Nephilidae.
GUUCUUGUAGCUCAAUGGAUAGCACGUUGGACUUCUAAUCCAAAGGUCGUGGGUUCGAAUCCCACCUGGGAUG